CUGCCCCAGCUUUCCAGUGGAGCAGAUAAAAAGUUACUGGAAGAGCUCCUGAACAAGUUCAAGAGUAGCAUGCACUUGCAGCUCACCUGUUUCCAAGCAGCUUCUUCAACCAUGAUGAAAACAUAAAUAUCUGCCACAUAAAAGAAGUCCAGGAAAAUAACACGUAAUAAGACUGUUCACUCUCUAAGUACCCUAAAGGUAUUUGGUGUAUUAAACAUUGGGUUUGCCAUUUUUCUCUUUUUUCUUCCUCUGACUUCGAAAAUUGUUGGUAUACAUUUCAACCAAAAUGACCUCAUUUGAAAUGCCCAGGAAGUAUUUGUUUUGCCAUUCUUACUAGAUCAGAUCCUGUAUGACUUUAAAAUACAUUUUAAAAUAUAUUUUGCAUCUCAGCAGAAGGUUGAGUGCUGCAGGAAGAGCUGCUUCUGCAGGGAGUUUUCUGGAAUGGCGUGGCACAUAUUGAAGCAUUUCUCAGUGUCCCGUUCACGGAAGCGCAGGCAGCUCCCACGACACACGGAGAGACUGACUGAUACGAGAUUUGGAAAGCUAUGUAGACAUCUUUGGAGCUCUUACUGUCCUAAACUGUACAGCUGUGCUUAAAACCCUCAUUUCAUAUAAAUGGCCUUAAGUUUUCUAAUUCAAGCGGGUUUUUGGAAAAAUUUAUGGUCUCCAUUAAAAUACAUAUUACAACUGGGG
This 693-nucleotide long non-coding RNA is filed under the name Homo sapiens (human). Its description in RNAcentral is "HSALNT0099269". The record is from RNAcentral. Lineage: Eukaryota; Metazoa; Chordata; Mammalia; Primates; Hominidae.